RNAcentral lists this ribosomal RNA (573 nucleotides) under Aspergillus ochraceus. RNAcentral's name for it is "eukaryotic LSU rRNA". The stretch from base 185 to 338 matches the Rfam family "5.8S ribosomal RNA". Lineage: Eukaryota; Fungi; Ascomycota; Eurotiomycetes; Eurotiales; Aspergillaceae. The record is from RNAcentral.
ACUGCGGAGACAUUACUGAGUGAGGGUCCCUCGGGGCCCAACCUCCCACCCGUGUAUACCGUACCUUGUUGCUUCGGCGAGCCCGCCCCCCUUCCUUAGGGGUGGCACAGCGCUCGCCGGAGACACCAACGUGAACACUGUCUGAAGUUUUGUCGUCUGAGUCGAUUGUAUCGCAAUCAGUUAAAACUUUCAACAAUGGAUCUCUUGGUUCCGGCAUCGAUGAAGAACGCAGCGAAAUGCGAUAAUUAAUGUGAAUUGCAGAAUUCAGUGAAUCAUCGAGUCUUUGAACGCACAUUGCACCCCCUGGUAUUCCGGGGGGUAUGCCUGUCCGAGCGUCAUUGCUGCCCUCAAGCACGGCUUGUGUGUUGGGUCGUCGUCCCCCCCGGGGGACGGGCCCGAAAGGCAGCGGCGGCACCGCGUCCGGUCCUCGAGCGUAUGGGGCUUUGUCACCCGCUCUUGUAGGCCCGGCCGGCUGCUGGCCGACGCUGAAAAGCAACCAAUUUAUUUCUCCAGGUUGACCUCGGAUCAGGUAGGGAUACCCGCUGAACUUAAGCAUAUCAAUAAGCGGAGGAA